CCUACGGGGGGCUGCAGUGAGGAAUAUUGGUCAAUGGGCGUAAGCCUGAACCAGCCAUCCCGCGUGCAGGAAGACGGCGCUAUGCGUUGUAAACUGCUUUUCCAGGGGAAGAAAACCCCCGACGUGUCGGGGCUUGCCGGUACCUUGGGAAUAAGCAUCGGCUAACUCCGUGCCAGCAGCCGCGGUAAUACGGAGGAUGCGAGCGUUAUCCGGUUUUAUGGGGUUUAAAGGGUGUGGAGGCGGAUUGAUAGAAAACCUUCAGCUUAACUGGAGAAUUGCCGUUGAUACUGUUAGUCUUGAGGAUGGUCAAGGUAGGCGGAAUGUGUAAUGUAGCGGUGAAAUGCUUAGAUAUUACACAGAACACCGAUUGCGAAGGCAGCUUACUGGGCCAUAACUGACGCUGAGGCACGAAAGCGUGGGGAGCGAACAGGAUUAGAUACCCUAGUAGUC
RNAcentral lists this ribosomal RNA (450 nucleotides) under uncultured bacterium. Its description in RNAcentral is "partial 16S ribosomal RNA". It matches the Rfam family "Bacterial small subunit ribosomal RNA", at positions 338 to 795 of the family's 1533-position model. The record is from RNAcentral.